AAAAAAAAAAAAGAAUAUGUCAUCAAACUGCAUUUGCUGCAUCUUUGACAGUGGGUGUUCCAUUUUUACCUAUCACUUGUUAUUUCACAGAGUCAUAUCAACACUAAAUGCAAGGCUGUGAUAUGGAAACAGAAGGUGUUUGAACAUUUGAAACCUUUGGUGGGAUUGAUGAUGGUACUGACAUCAAUGCUGUAUGGGUGAGAAAAAGCAGAGAGUACAUGCAGAGACUCGGUGGUGCAAAAGACAAUUUUAAAAAAUGUGUCUGUAUGUAUCUCUCAAACCCAUGGCUUUGAUGAGAGCAUUCAUAAGAGCAAUAACAGCAAAUAAUGCAUGGAUGCUUCUUGCAUUCAAGGGACAUAGACAUAUGUUGAAAGACUUAAAGUGAGUUUGAUUUCUGGGUUACUUAAAUUGCUUAAAUGUCUUAAGUGAAAUGAUGCUGAUAUUAUCCCUUGUCAAUGUUCUGAAUGCUGGAUAAUAUUAUCUUGUUUUUGAAACAUAAAUGGGAUAAGGUGAACUGAUGCUGAGGGAGAGUUAUGGCUGACAACAUUGCCUGGGUUUGUGGUAGUUUUGAAGCCGAGUUCACCAAUGAGCACAGCAUGUGUCUCAGAGAUGCGAGGACCUUCUAAUGACUAUAACAUCUACAAGAAUGCUAAUUGUGGCAAGUCUGAGACCUGGACUUGGAUAAUUUUAUGUAGUUAAUAUUAAAAAUUCUUCAAUAAAAUUUUAAUUUCUUUUUUAAAAAAGAAAUAAUUUAAUUGGUCUCACUUUCGUUUUAUAUUAGAAGGUGAUAUGGUUUGGCUCUAUCUGUGUCUCCACCCAAAUCUUAUGUCAAAUUGUAAUUUCCAAUGUUGGAGGUGGACCUGGUGGGAGGUAAUUGGAUCAUGGGGACAGUUUCUCAGGGAUUAACACCAUCCCCCUUGGUGUUGUCAUGGUGAGAGUGAGUUAUCUUGAAAUCUGGUUGUUUAAAAGUAUGUAACAUCUCCCCGCCCUGUCUCUUGCUCCUGCUCUGACCAUGUAAGACCUCCCUGCUUCCCCUUUGCCUUCAGAAGUGAUUGAAAGUUUCCUGAGGCCACCCCAGCCAAGAUUCUCACACAGCCUGUGGGACUGAGAGCCAAUUAAACCUCUUUUCUUAAUAAAUUACCUAAUCUCAGGCAUAUAGCAAUGCGAGAACAGACUAAUACAGAACCUGAGAUUCAGGGAAGUCACUCAAUGUCUCUCAAUGGUAAGUAGCAGAAAUAGGACUAGAACUCAAGUCACUAGGAACUCCAUAUUAGCAGUCGCCUGAACACUCUCCCUUCCAUUCUUUAUAUACAGGAUGUCUGUUAUAUUUUUUCUGCUUCCUCUACAGUCUCCCCAACUUCUUUACUUUGAAACCAUCCCUUCAUGGGUCCAUGUGCUUCUGUUGGGUCUGCCAAUUAAGGAUUCUUGCUUAGUUGAAAGCCACAGUGAAGGCACAUAGCAUGGGCUGGCUAAUCAAAAUACCCCAUCACCCUGGGCAUGGCAACUAGACCUUAAAUGGGCAUAUAGCCCAAUGGGACUAACCGGUUAUUUUAAAGGGAUUGAUAUUCAUAAUGAAGGAGAGAGUGGACUUUAUUGCUAUGGUUUGAAUGUUUGUCUCCUCCAAAACUCAAGUUGAAAACUGCCAUUAUAACAGUAUUAGAGGUGAGACUUUUAAGAGGUGAUUAGGCCAUGAAGGCUCCACCCUCAUGGGUGGGAGUGGUUACAAUUAUAUAAGAGUAAGUUUAGUCUCCUCUUUCCCUCCCUCUUGUUCUCUUGACUUCCACCAUGUGAUAACACAGCAAGAGGCCCCCACUAGUUGCUGGCACCUUGAUAUUGAACUUCCCAGCCUCCAGAACUGUGAACUAAUAAAUUUGUGUUCGCUAUAAAUUAUCCAGUAUCAGAGAUCUUUCUGAGUAUGAAGGCAACACAAAGGAAAUUAAACCGAGAGAAGAUUUAAGGAAUCUGAAGAUAUCAGUUGAAUCUCUGCAACCAGCUACAUCUAAAUCUGGUUAUAGCUCCAAUGGCUUUGUCUUCAGAUAAACAGAUCUCAGCUGGGACUGUCUGGAUUCAUCUGUAUUUCAGGAUUUCAGGAUGACAGCUUCCCCUGUGAUCUCAGUUCUCCAAUGGGUCUAAGAGAAGACAUUGAUUUUUUUUUUUCAGUUUUUGCAGCUUUUUGUUAUUGUAAGGAUGGGAACAACAACUUCCAAGCUCUUUGCAUGUCACUGCUAAAACCAGAAAUGUUUAUAUUUUGGUAAUUUUUGUUAUGCUCUGUGCUACUGAUACCUUAGCCUUCCUUGCCAAGUGAUGCAAUAUUGUAUUUGGUUUAGUAAAAGCAUAUUGUGUUAACACUGCGUCAGUAGGCUUGUGCUCUAGGCUUUUCUUAUGAUAGUGCUCCUCAGUCUCCAUUUUCAAAAUGAAUUAACAACACAGAAAAUAUGAAAUGUUUCAUGAGGAUUGGAGGAAGUCAAAAGUUUCAUAUAUUGCUAGUGGGAGAUUGAAUCAUCCCCUUUUGAUAACUGUUUGGGGUAGCUUAUUCUAAAUUCAAACACAUGUACAUAGUCCAUCACGACAUAGUGACUUUCCUCCUAGGUAUGUACCCCUAAAAAAUGUAAAAAAAAAAAUUCCUAGCAAUACUAUUUAUAAUAACGAUAAACUGGAAACAAUCCAAAUGUCACUAGAAUGGAUACAUAAAUAUGGUUUAUUCACACAAUGGAAUGCAGCAUUGAGGAUUAGGGAUAAAUCUCACAAACAUGAAGUGAAAGAAGUCAAACACAGAAAAAGUACAUACUGCAUGGUUUUAUUUGUUUGUAGCUUAAGAACAGUCAAAACUAAGCUAUGGCAUGAAGAGCCAGGAAUGUGACUACCUGGUAUGUUGAAGGUUUUAGUGAUUAGCUGAGCAUAAAGAAGGACACAUGGGAAGCUAGUAAUGAUAUGCUCCUUGAGCUGUUGACAUGGAAUAUUCAAUAUGUGAAAAAC
Molecule: long non-coding RNA, 2976 nt
Filed under: Homo sapiens (human)
Lineage: Eukaryota; Metazoa; Chordata; Mammalia; Primates; Hominidae
Description: HSALNT0251328
Source: RNAcentral